ACCUUUUAUUUUUCACCACCAAACCAAAAAUUAAAACAAAACCUGAUGGUUGUUCUGACUUUUUAGACAUAUAUAUACACUUACCGAUUGAUCGACAAUUGGAAUGAGGGAUUGAAGCACCUUAGCGACAUUGAAUUUGAUGUUUGGAACUCUGUGGUAGUAAAAAAUAAUCUUGUUUAUACACUUAAAAUGUUUGAAGCAAAAUCAUGCGAGUCAAUAACUAGUUUACAAUGAGAACUUGCCUGUCUUUAGCCCCGGUCAUCACGACAGGUAAGAGCUUGGAGCAUGUGAUCUCUGACCCCAUCACUGGUGCAAGAAGAGAAACCGCACGCAAAAUGGUCAUACGGUACAGAUAGUGAGGGUUGCUGAUCAUCUCAAGAACCUGCAGAUUAAUGAAAAAAAACAUUGGUUGACUCUAAUAAGAAGGUAAACACUGAUUCUUGUAAAACAUAGACAAACCUGUGGAACUAUAUGCUGCAUUGCCCAUUCAGGACCAAAUUCUUCAGCAAGACGCUUCACAUUGUUGGCAGCAGCCUCGCGGAUUGAGUGGACCUGAAGAGACCGCCGCUUCAAUAUUUAUAAGGAGAAACUGAUUUGUUAUUUAAGAAUAUCUUUGGUUUGAGAGAGAAAGCAGAACCUUGUCUUCUAACCAUUGCAUGCAAAGAGCGCCAAGCUUAUCGUCAAAGAAGCCAACACCUAACUGACUUGCCAACAAAGGUAUGUACUCAAUGAUAGCAAGUCUUACCCUCCAGUGUCUAUCUUCAGCAAGUUCUACAAUUGCUGGCAACAAGGAUUGCGAUAGUAGAUCAAUCCCAAUAACCUGCCAAAUAUAAAAUAUUGGAAUCAUCAAGUGAAAGUCGAUAAGCAAAAAAAGUUGAAUAAUGUUUAUCGGUGAAACCAUUGACAUGAGAAAAUUUUGUUUGGGUAAGUUGGUCAAACCUGGUUCACUUGGUCGAGUUUGCUGAUGAUGUUCAAGCGUACAUCUGGAAACUCAUCUUUCAACAGCGAAAGAAAGAUUGGAAGGAGAUGCUCAAUUGUUGCAUCCUGCAUUGGAAAAAUCAAUGUAAAGGUUAAAGUCUGCAACAUAUACAAUCCAACAAAAAAAAUCUCUCUGUACAACUGAUCACGGUUAUGGGCACUUUCCAGGUACAAUUAUUGGACGAAAAGGCUGAGUUAAAUACUAACGUACAUCUUUCCCAUCACUGUAGAGUCAACACACAUCUAUAUUUGCGAACUGUCUUACCUUACCCAAGACUGGAGCCAUUCCCAUUAUAACUGAAGCCAGUGCAGAUCUGACGUGUUGAGAUGAGUCUGUUGAUAGCUCCUACAGGUAGAAUUAAAAGAAACUAUAAGUACUAUGUAACAGCUUAUAAGUGUCGAGUCAUUGAUUCUUUGAAAAAAAUUGAGAUUCUCACACGGGUCUCUUAGAAUGUACCUUUACGCAGGGGAGAAUGUGCUGAAUAGCAAGUUCAGGGUUUAGGAUCCGACAAAACUUAGUAACUUUUCCAGCAGCUGCUAUGCGUACUUCAGCCUCAUUGUCACGAAGUAGACGCACAUAUGCAGGCACCAGUUCCGUCCUUGAUAUAGAAGGAACAUUAAAUAGUAUUAGGAAGAAGCAAGGGGUAUCAUCAAAUAUAUUGAUAAUCAUACCUCUGAAGAGGUAAUCCACCAAUAUAGAAAUGCAUAUAAUGCAAUAGGCCUAAAGAACUUCAUUAAAACAUACUAAAUGUUUAUCCAAGACUCCUUACCUAGUAGGCUCAGGUCCCACGGCUUCACAAAGCUCAUAGAGCUGAUUUGCUACCAUGUAACGCACACGCCAAGACUUAUCCUGCUCAGUGACAAAGUACAAAGAUUAAACAUCUCAUAAGUGUAGUUUAUCCAAGGAUCAUCAUCAUAAAGACUAUGCAAUUAGCACAAAUGAUUACCUGCGAGAAAUUAACAAUCACGGGAAGAAUGUGCGCAACACAGUCCUGAGGCUCCAACAAUUUCCCAAGAGCAGCACAACCCUCAACCGCCAAUAAUCUAACGGAAUCUUGAUCUGAUAUGAAAGACAAUGAAGAACCGUAAGAUGAAAAUAAUGUUAGAUAACUAAAUAGAUAUGUGGACACUCAUUUUCAUCUUUAUCUUCAGCUAAUGCUCAGUGUGUAAUGCAUUUCAGUGCCUGCUGGCCGUAACUUUUUUUACAUCCAUCCGCCACCCGCAAAAGCAUAUUUAAUACCGACUCGACAAUUACAUGCUUAAACAAGCAGCAAAGCGACAGUGUGAACCAUAACAGAUAAGAAAUUACCAUCUUGAGUAAGAUCAUCAAACAUAGACAUAACGUCGGUCUUCAAGUGAGCUGAUUCAAUAGUAGCAGCAAAUUUCCCCAGAUUGGUUGCUGCAGCUCUUCGCACCAUUGGCAUAUCAUCUUGACAGAGCUGGGUAUAUAUUGAUCUCAACUCAGUCUUCACCGCAUCUGGGGCGCUAGGGUAUGCAAUAUGGAAAACUCCACAAGCUGAUACUCUGGCUGUGAACCAUUCACCAGCUGCAAGUCUCUGUUACAUCAGGGAGAGUAAACUUAAGUAAUUUCCUUAUUUCAACAAUACAAUAUGCAAAGUUCUUAACGAAAAACAUCUACUUGGCUUUCAAUAGAGAUGGCCAGUCACAUAAACAUCCGAAAAAACAAGUCAGCUAGUUAUGCCAGACACCCUAGAAAAACCAGUAUGGUCUUAUUGUUUUCAACCUAGCAGUUGUCUAUUCCAAAACUUUGAGAGGCCAAUAUAACUCCAAUCUCUGUAUAAACAUAUGCAUAUUCCAACUUAUUUCUUAUGAGAGUCUAAUAUAGUUUCAGUCUCUAUAAGAACAUAUGCAUAGUGUAACUUAUUUCUUAUGAGAGUCUAAUACAACUUCAUUCUCUAUAAACAUACGCAUACUGUAACUUAUUUACUAUGACAGUCUAAUAUAACUUUAACUUCGAUCUCUAUAUUAACAUAUGAAUAUUGUAACUUAUUUCCUAUGAGAUUCAAAUAUAACUUCAUUCUCUUCUUAAAUGAGUCUAAUAUAAUCUUUAUCUUUCAAUAUUCUUCAUGAUUCCUCUAUAUUUUCUAGAUAUUUCCUUAUCUUUGUGUUUUCUAUAAUCUGGAUACGGUCGAUAACAUGAGAAAUGAAAUGAAACCACGAGUUGUUAUCCUCCUCUCUUGGCUAACCUUAACCAACGGUAUGAAAUGCUCAACCAAAUCAGUCUCCUUCAUCUGAGACCCAACUCUGCAAAGCGACUCAACAGCUUUCUCCCUCACACAAGUCUCCUCAACCGUGGAGAGAGUCUCCAACGGUGGAAGCAGAACGUGCGCGUGCUCAACGCCACCAACGUAAGGAAUAAACACUCCCAAUUCCUCAGCCAUUGCAAGCAGCACCUCAUCGUCAUCGUCAUUGUUUUCGCUCAGAAAGGGAAUCAGCUCCUUCCUCGUCCUCUCCUCGCCGAGAGCGCGAGCAAUCGUGGAAAGCCUUCUGAUCGAAUUCAACCUUAGCUGAAUGUCAUCGUUUUUAAGCUCGUCUAUGAGGACGGCGAUGGGGUAAAGCGGCUCGUCGGUCAUCGACAUCUUUGAUCAAAAGUUCGAUUCUCACCUAAUACCAUCAGAGAAAUCGCAAACGCGAGCAAUUAGGAGAAGAACCUAGCACAGAUCUUACUAAGGAAGACAAAGAAGAUCUGAAUUGAAUUUACUUCGAUUCGAAUGAAAUGAAAACAGAUUGAAAAAAAAAAAAAAAGCAGAACACAAGAGUUCUCAGUUACUUACGUUACAAAGUCUUGAGAGUUUAGAAUCUUGCAUCAAAUAGAAAACCAGGGACAGAGAUUUAAAAGUUUUUUUUUAGCUCGACAUCAUCACAUUAUCAAUAGAUUGAAGAGCUUGGUUUGCAAAGAACCUGACAUCAACAUCUGGAUCCUCGCUUAGCUCCACAAGCCCUGGACGAAUCGUAUUCUCUACAACCUUUUAUUUUUCACCACCAAACCAAAAAUUAAAACAAAACCUGAUGGUUGUUCUGACUUUUUAGACAUAUAUAUACACUUACCGAUUGAUCGACAAUUGGAAUGAGGGAUUGAAGCACCUUAGCGACAUUGAAUUUGAUGUUUGGAACUCUGUGGUAGUAAAAAAUAAUCUUGUUUAUACACUUAAAAUGUUUGAAGCAAAAUCAUGCGAGUCAAUAACUAGUUUACAAUGAGAACUUGCCUGUCUUUAGCCCCGGUCAUCACGACAGGUAAGAGCUUGGAGCAUGUGAUCUCUGACCCCAUCACUGGUGCAAGAAGAGAAACCGCACGCAAAAUGGUCAUACGGUACAGAUAGUGAGGGUUGCUGAUCAUCUCAAGAACCUG
RNAcentral lists this long non-coding RNA (4348 nucleotides) under Brassica napus (rape). RNAcentral's name for it is "long non-coding RNA (BNAP_LNC020440)". The record is from RNAcentral. Lineage: Eukaryota; Viridiplantae; Streptophyta; Magnoliopsida; Brassicales; Brassicaceae.